AACGGCGAGUGAAGCGGCAAAAGCUCAAAUUUGAAAUCUGGCCUCCUACGGGGGYCCKWGUUGUAAUUUGUAGAGGAUGCUUCGGGUGUGGCCGCCGUCUAAGUUCCUUGGAACAGGACGUCAGAGAGGGUGAGAAUCCCGUCUUGGGCGGCCGGUCCGCGCCCGUGUGAAGCUCCUUCGACGAGUCGAGUUGUUUGGGAAUGCAGCUCUAAGCGGGUGGUAAAUUUCAUCUAAAGCUAAAUACUGGUCGGAGACCGAUAGCGCACAAGUAGAGUGAUCGAAAGGUUAAAAGCACCUUGAAAAGGGAGUUAAACAGCACGUGAAAUUGUUGAAAGGGAAGCGCUUGCGGCCAGACUCGGGGGCGGGGUUCAGCGGGCGCUCGUCGCCCGUGCACUCCCCGUCUCCCGGGCCAGCAUCAGUUUCGACGGCCGGUCAAAGGCCUCCGGAAUGUGUCGUCUCUCGGGACGUCUUAUAGCCGGGGGUGCAAUGCGGCCCGUCGGGACUGAGGAACGCGCUUCGGCUCGGAUGCUGGCGUAAUGGCCGUAAGCGGCCCGUCUUGAAACACGGACCAAGGAGUCUAACAUCCACGCGAGUGUUCGGGUGUCAAACCCGUGCGCGCAGUGAAAGCGAACGGAGGUGGGAGCCUUAGGGCGCACCAUCGACCGAUCCUGAAGUCUUCGGAUGGAUUUGAGUAGGAGCGUGGCCGUUGGGACCCGAAAGAUGGUGAACUAUGCCUGAAUAGGGUGAAGCCAGAGGAAACUCUGGUGGAGGCUCGCAGCGGUUCUGACGUGCAAAUCGAUCGUCAAAUUU
RNAcentral lists this ribosomal RNA (810 nucleotides) under Nannizzia fulva. Its description in RNAcentral is "eukaryotic LSU rRNA". It matches the Rfam family "Eukaryotic large subunit ribosomal RNA", at positions 85 to 912 of the family's 3401-position model. The record is from RNAcentral. Lineage: Eukaryota; Fungi; Ascomycota; Eurotiomycetes; Onygenales; Arthrodermataceae.